GUUGAUAAGGUUAAGUGAAUAAGGGCGCACGGUGGAUGCCUUGGCACUAGGAGCCGAUGAAGGACGGGACUAACACCGAUAUGCUUUGGGGAGCUGUAC
Molecule: ribosomal RNA, 99 nt
Filed under: Enterococcus faecium
Lineage: Bacteria; Bacillati; Bacillota; Bacilli; Lactobacillales; Enterococcaceae
Description: partial 23S ribosomal RNA
Rfam family: Bacterial large subunit ribosomal RNA
Source: RNAcentral